AGAACGAACGCUGGCGGCAGGCUUAACACAUGCAAGUCGAACGGUUGUAGCAAUACAGCAGUGGCGCACGGGUGAGUAACGCGUGGGAACAUACCUUAGAGUUCGGAAUAACAGCGGGAAACUGCUGCUAAUACCGGAUAUUCUCUCCGGAGGAAAGAUUUAUCGCUCUAAGAUUGGCCCGCGUCAGAUUAGCUAGUUGGUGGGGUAAUGGCCUACCAAGGCUCCGAUCUGUAGCUGGUCUGAGAGGACGACCAGCCACACUGGAACUGAGACACGGUCCAGACUCCUACGGGAGGCAGCAGUGGGGAAUAUUGGACAAUGGGCGAAAGCCUGAUCCAGCCAUGCCGCGUGAGUGAUGAAGGCCUUAGGGUUGUAAAGUCCUUUUAACGGGGAAGAUAAUGACGGUACCCGUAGAAUAAGCCCCGGCUAACUUCGUGCCAGCAGCCGC
This 448-nucleotide ribosomal RNA is filed under the name uncultured bacterium. RNAcentral's name for it is "SSU rRNA". It matches the Rfam family "Bacterial small subunit ribosomal RNA", at positions 26 to 518 of the family's 1533-position model. The record is from RNAcentral.